UGUAAGUCUUGCAUAUCGGCACAGCAACACCAACAUGCAGGUUGAUAUGGUGCACAAACUAACUGAUUAUGAUGUCACCAGUGGGUUUUUGAUGCCGCUCUAUCAAGGUUGGGCUGUGUAGACGUGAUUUUCGGAACUGAACCCUAUGAACACUGCAGAAUUGGUGGAAAGUGGAAACUUUUUGUUGAUUGCUGCAAUCUUUAUGAAGAAAUGAGGAUGAGGUUUGGUGCGCCUGUUUGUGGCAAAAACACUGCUCUUUAUGUUAAAGUCGUUGCAAAUUAGAGAUGUGGUUCAUUUUCAUAUGGUUGUGGGAGGAUUGUUC
RNAcentral lists this long non-coding RNA (322 nucleotides) under Medicago truncatula (barrel medic). RNAcentral describes it as "lncRNA gene31246". The record is from RNAcentral. Lineage: Eukaryota; Viridiplantae; Streptophyta; Magnoliopsida; Fabales; Fabaceae.